CAUGCACACAUUAACCACGGAAGGAAGCUGCCAACUGGCCCGUUAAUCAUGCACCCACGAUUAGUGGGGAAAUCAAAACAGAUCCACAAUUGGUUGUGGUUCGUCGUUCACAUAAGCAGGAGGUGGUUGUAGCAGCUCGCAUCCUCCGCAAAGGCAGCCGUCGUGACCACUCCGGCAAGCGGCAGAUCCGAUCUGAUAAAUUGCUAGAUGUGCGCCGCCACCGUUGCCUGCACCACCGGUUCAACAAGGCUGCACGUCGGCGACCUUCCUCGUCUCUCGUUCCCAUAUCGCAUGGCCACAAUGCAUGUCUCCCAAGAAAGGCCAACAAUCCUGCUGCACUAUCUAUUGAUUUGUCACCGUCUUACUUCCUCCACGACUCAGAUGCUUCGGGCUGUCAGGGAAUACAACAUCAAGGACGACAUGGCAAACAAGAUCGAGGGGUUUGGGCAAGGGCACCCCAGCUUCUACCCGCCCACGUCAUGGAUCACGCCUUCAAUCACGAUGCCUAGGUCACAUUUGAAUUAGCGAAAUUCGACGUAUGGAAGCAGUUUGACUUUACUUGGCAGUAGAACUUCCUCUCUCUUUGUAAACUAACCAAGAAUUAGUAUGAACCAUGUGUAAUUAUGAUGAAAUAUGUUUCUCUUUAAUGGAAGGAAAAUAACAUUUUAUUGGGAGCAA
Molecule: long non-coding RNA, 678 nt
Organism: Triticum aestivum (bread wheat)
Lineage: Eukaryota; Viridiplantae; Streptophyta; Magnoliopsida; Poales; Poaceae
Exons: 2
Source: RefSeq, a predicted model, not a curated record